RNAcentral lists this ribosomal RNA (486 nucleotides) under Starmerella bacillaris. RNAcentral's name for it is "eukaryotic LSU rRNA". It matches the Rfam family "Eukaryotic large subunit ribosomal RNA", at positions 77 to 668 of the family's 3401-position model. Lineage: Eukaryota; Fungi; Ascomycota; Dipodascomycetes; Dipodascales; Trichomonascaceae. The record is from RNAcentral.
GCCUAGUACGGCGAGUGAACAGGCAAGAGCUCAGAUUUGAAAGGCACUUUUGUGCCGUUGUAUUCUGAAGUUAGGGUCCUGAGAAACGAUGCUUAAGUCUUCUGGAAAGGAGCGCCAUGGAGGGUGAUAGCCCCGUCUAGCAUUGACCUCAUAUAGGAUCUUAACAUGGAGUCGAGUUGUUUGGGAAUGCAGCUCAAAUGGGUGGUAUGCUCCAUCUAAAGCUAAAUAUCUGCGAGAGACCGAUAGUAAACAAGUACUGUGAGGGAAAGAUGAAAAGAACUUUGAAAAGAGAGUGAAAAAGUACGUGAAAUUGUUGAAAUGGAAGGGUAGGCCGCUAACCAUGUAGAGCCGUGUUUGGGGGGAAGAUAAAUGCUGUAGAAUGUAGCUCCUCGGAGUAUUAUAGAUGCAGUUCAUAUUCCCACCCGAGCGCGAGGAUCUCAGGUUCUACUAAAUGGUGGUCUACCACCCGUCUUGAACCACGGACCA